This 255-nucleotide ribosomal RNA is filed under the name uncultured archaeon. RNAcentral describes it as "partial 16S ribosomal RNA". It matches the Rfam family "Archaeal small subunit ribosomal RNA", at positions 727 to 982 of the family's 1478-position model. The record is from RNAcentral.
CAUUAGAUACCCGGGUAGUCCCAGCCGUAAACUAUGCGCGUUAGGUGUAUCGGUGACCACGAGUUACCGAGGUGCCGAAGGGAAACCGUGAAACGUGCCGCCUGGGAAGUACGGUCGCAAGGCUGAAACUUAAAGGAAUUGGCGGGGGAGCACAACAACGGGUGGAGCCUGCGGUUUAAUUGGACUCAACGCCGGACAACUCACCGGGACGACAGCAAUAUGUAGGCCAGGCUGAAGACCUUGCCUGAAUCGCUG